CUUGCCAGCUUCUUCGCCAUCCUUUUUACCCCCCUCCGCUCGCUUGGCUUUGGACUCACUUCUUACUCCGCUCGCUCGCUCAUCUCCGCAGACUCCUUCACAGCGGCUUUUGUCUCUGAUCUCGUGUCAAAUGGAAGCCAUGCCAAGGAGGCGUGGCCGACCUCAUGUUAGCGUUACCCAAGUCAUCGCCGAAGCGCGCCGACAGGCAGCCUGCUGCGUGAUUCUCAGCAUCGCAACAUCAUGUUAUGCCUGUCUACUGGUGAGCUAGCUGGAAUUGCCGUGGGAGCUACUGUCAUGCUCAAUAUACUACGAGCAAGGAGCAACAGGAGCAUCAAUGAAUCCGGUGAGAACUUUGGGGCCAUCAAUAGCUACAAACAACUACAAAGCCAUAUGGAUCUACUCUACGGCUCCCAUCCUUGAUGCACUAGCAGGAGCAGGUACUUACUCUCUGGUAAAGCUACCCGAGGAAGACCUGAAAAACACACCACCAACAUUAUAACUUAUCCUGGUCAGUAGUUUCUGUAUAUGUGGGCCGUGGCCGUCCUGCUAUUAGCUUGUAAAUAUCUAUUAUUGAUAUACAGAGUUUCCUACUCAUCCACCAAAUCAGUUGAGAAAACAUCACUUUCAGGUAAUUAUGAAAAAGCUCAAAUGAGUUUUGUUUUGGUCCGGUUUCAACAUAUUUGAAAUGUGAGGUCUGAUAUUUCCAUUCAACGUAAAAUUCUCUAAGCUAAUGUAAUUGGUCCACAUAAUUACUGCCACAUUUUAAUCUUCUCUAAUUUUACCGAUCUGCCCCUAUUCUUGCCUAUUUGCCUCCACUAUUUGCCUCUUAAUUACGUGCCUGUUUACUUUUGCGGUUCAUUUCUCAUCCUUUCCGCCUCCCUACUGUUUUGCUUCGUCGUUCCUGAGCUCUGCCUCAUUCUCAGCGGAGACAUUAGCCUCUCUGUGGUGUCAUCGUCCUCGUGUUGUCAUCACCGAGGCCGUCGCUGAAGCACGCCUGUAGGCUUCCCGCUGCGUGAUUCUCAGCAUCGCGGCAGAGCCGCUUCGCAGGCCAGGAAGGUUCAUGGUUCAAUAUUCGGAAUAAAAAGGAUGAAAGAACCUGGUGGCUACCUUGGCUGGAUUAUAAAACUCUUCUUUUAUGAUGGAUUCUUUCAGUGCCAAGUGAAUCAUAUUAAUGAGAAAACACAGUCGCAAGGUGGCUGCGGGAUGCUGAUAUGUUCUUGCUCUACAGAGAGUCACUUUAUGUGACCUCUCCUUGUCUUGCUCCGAGGAGGUGUGUCACCAGCAUUUUAUGUCAGCUGCCGACACACUAGACAAUCCCUGUGGUGGUAACUCAAGCAGAGUGCUUAGAAAUCCAAUACGUUUAGAUGUUAACGGACCAUUAUAUUAUGGUAUCUAUAAGGGUGCUCUUCCGGUCAUUUCCAGUAACUCUGUGGCUGUUAGGAUUCUCUACCCCAUCUUUUGGGGUUUAAUGACCCUCAGCACAUUUGACAAUGACCUAGAACCAACAAGUAACUGGCUAGAAGUGGUAUUUAGUAUAACAAAUGUGCUUAGUGGUUUAAUGCUCUUCACUCUGUUGAUCGGAAAUAUUCAGGUAACUUUAUUAGCUUUGAUAUCAAUAAUUUAGCAAAAUGAAUGUAAAUUUGAAGGCAUUUAUGCAUGCGGUUAUGGCAAAGAAGAGGAAAAUGCAAAUACGAAUCAGAGAUAUGGAAUGGUGGAUGAAGAGGAGACAGUUACCAUCUCAGUUGAGACACAGAGUCAGGCACUAUGAACGCCAGACUUGGUCAACCAUGGGAGGUCAUGAUGAAAUGGAGUUGGUUAAAGACUUGCCUGAAGGACUCAGACGUGAUAUCAAACAAUUCCUUUUCUUAGAUUUCAUUAGAAAGGUACCACGUUUUCAAAGUCCAGAUGAUCUGAUCCUUGACAACAUAUGUGAACCGUGUUAAGCCCUUUGUUUUCUCCAAAAACAAAAAGGUAAAAUGGAUCACGGACAUAAAUAUUUUUCCAUCACCACUGCGAUCACUCCAGAAAUGUUUUCAUUCUUGCUGCGAAUAUUUCGAGAAGGGGAUUCUGUACCUAGACUGGAGUGUUCAUUGUCAAGGGACGCAUGAAAAGUAACCAAAACUUAAGCAGACGCAUAGUAGCCAAGAGCAUUCUUGAUCCCGGAGGCUUCUUAGGAGACAAAAAUUCCGGCUUUAAAAGCUUCUACUUGAAAUUCAAUACUUCUUCAUUGGCCUGGAUGCUGUUGGGUGCUAACAAUUCAUUUUUCCUGCAUUCCUAAUUUUGAGCUUCUGUUCUGCAGUUCAUCACCUUGCUCAGAUCUUUCAGGCCGCCACGUAUCAUCUUUCCCCUCUGCGAAGAUCAUACAGACGGUUUGAUUAUUAACAUUAGCAUAAAUAGCUUCACCGAGUGCCUUGUACGCACUUCUGAAUCUUAUCAGGUUCACCACUUUCUGCUAGCAACAUUUCUAUAUGGGAAUUUGUUAAUGUUUGUCAAUUCAUGUCAGUUUCAUCUAUAAUGCAAUUUUUUCCCUUCAGAAUUCAGAGCUAAUCGUGAGGUGGGCUAUGUUUGUUGUGGAUUUUUAUAAAAUAAUAUGGUCUGAAAUAUAGUGCACAGUGGUUAGAGCUUCUCGGUUGCAAGCUUGUUCAUCGGUCCAAUUGUUGUUAUAGUAUCAAAAAUGAAAUUGUGUAGUAUGUAUAAAAUUGUAAACUUUUUUCAUUUAGCGAAAAAAAAUUGUUAAAUUUUCUCUCUCAAGAAAGUAUAGAGUCGGG
This is a long non-coding RNA of Daucus carota subsp. sativus, 2768 nucleotides long. RefSeq lists it as uncharacterized. The transcript has 9 exons. NCBI's taxonomy places the organism in Eukaryota, Viridiplantae, Streptophyta, Magnoliopsida, Apiales, Apiaceae. The record is from RefSeq and is a predicted model, not a curated record.